UACAGAGGUCUCAAGCGUUGUUCGGAUUCAUUGGGCGUAAAGGGUGCGUAGGCGGCGCGGUAAGUCGGGUGUGAAAUCUCGGAGCUUAACUCCGAAACUGCAUUCGAUACUGCCGUGCUUGAGGACUGGAGAGGAGACUGGAAUUUACGGUGUAGCGGUGAAAUGCGCAGAUAUCAGGAGGAACACCGAUGGCGAAGGCAGUGAUCUGGGCCGGUACUGACGCUGAGGAGCGAAAGCGUGGGUAGCAAACAGG
This 253-nucleotide ribosomal RNA is filed under the name uncultured bacterium. Its description in RNAcentral is "partial 16S ribosomal RNA". It matches the Rfam family "Bacterial small subunit ribosomal RNA", at positions 524 to 776 of the family's 1533-position model. The record is from RNAcentral.